Miniopterus natalensis is the source of this 375-nucleotide long non-coding RNA. RefSeq lists it as uncharacterized. Lineage: Eukaryota; Metazoa; Chordata; Mammalia; Chiroptera; Miniopteridae. The record is from RefSeq and is a predicted model, not a curated record.
GAUCAAGUACAAGGUUGAGGGAAGUCUGUCUUUUUUUUUUGUCUCUUAUGCCACGCUUGGAGAGGAACUGGGCACCGAGUGAAGCCGAGGGGGUCGCCCAAACCCGUAGGCCGGCAUGGCCCGGGGGUCCAGCCCCGGCCUGAGCUCCCCUGUGGUCCUCAGCGUGGCACGUGUUCCUUGCCUGCCCCGUUCCGCAAUUCCGGCGGGGAAGUCCAAACCUCCAGAUCUACAGCUCCCUACAGUGCCAUUGGUGACCUGGUUGGAGACCUUGAAUGUAAAUCAACGUCAGUCAGUUCCGGCAGCUGGCGGUAAGGCUGGAGGUAGUCCAUGUCUGCCUGAAGUGCUCAGCAAUAAAGCAAAGGUGGUAUGAAUUGA